GGAAAGACAUCAGUUGUAUGUGUGAUGUUUUGAUCUUUGACUUCUGUCUACAGCUGUAUUUUGAUUAAAAUUGUUAUUAUUUAUAAGUGCACAUUUGUAGUGUUCCUUAUUUGUUAAGUAAAAAAACGGAGCACAGAAAAACAGAACCAACAAUAUCAAUCAACAAAGAGGUAUACUGUAAGGAUGUGCACUGAGUCGGGAAGCAAGUUCAGGAAGUGAGUGUUUUAAUAAAUAAACACAACAUUAUACAAAAUAAGAAACACAAACAAAGCACAGAACUGACACAGGAACAGAAAUAAUAACACCUGGGGAAGAAACCAAAGGGAGUGACAUAUAUAGGGAAGGUAAUCAGGGAGGUGAUGGAGUCCAGGUGAGUCUGAUGACGCGCUGGUGCGCGUAACGAUGGUGACAGGUGUGCGCCAUAACCAGCAGCCUGGUGACCUAGAGGCCGGAGUUGGAGCACACGUGACAAUAAAGACGAGGAGACAUACAAAGACUUCACCCUCCUUACACCUCUGAUGAAUAUAACAGGAAGCCUGUUCAAUCACCAUGCACUGAAAAAUCAUUCUGGCUAUGGAUAUGGAGAACAUCAACACAUUAACAUCAACACUGCCAGAGGAUAUACCCAUUGGACUUGGGACUCUGCUCGGAGUUCACCUGAUAUUUGGAUUUCUUAAUUCUGCUUUACCACUAAAAUCCUAAUAAAC
Salmo salar (Atlantic salmon) is the source of this 707-nucleotide non-coding RNA. The record is from RefSeq and is a predicted model, not a curated record. NCBI's taxonomy places the organism in Eukaryota, Metazoa, Chordata, Actinopteri, Salmoniformes, Salmonidae.